Molecule: transfer RNA, 61 nt
Filed under: Leptotrombidium pallidum
Lineage: Eukaryota; Metazoa; Arthropoda; Arachnida; Trombidiformes; Trombiculidae
Description: tRNA-Met
Source: RNAcentral
AGAAAAGUAAGCUAUUUUAAGCUAAGGGGUUCAUAACUCCUUGAAACUUUAGUCUUUUCUU